CUGGCGGCGUGCCUAAUACAUGCAAGUCGAGCGGAUCGAUGGGAGCUUGCUCCCUGAGAUCAGCGGCGGACGGGUGAGUAACACGUGGGUAACCUGCCUGUAAGACUGGGAUAACUCCGGGAAACCGGGGCUAAUACCGGAUAACACCUACCCCCGCAUGGGGGAAGGUUGAAAGGUGGCUUCGGCUAUCACUUACAGAUGGACCCGCGGCGCAUUAGCUAGUUGGUGAGGUAAUGGCUCACCAAGGCGACGAUGCGUAGCCGACCUGAGAGGGUGAUCGGCCACACUGGGACUGAGACACGGCCCAGACUCCUACGGGAGGCAGCAGUAGGGAAUCUUCCGCAAUGGACGAAAGUCUGACGGAGCAACGCCGCGUGAGUGAAGAAGGUUUUCGGAUCGUAAAACUCUGUUGUUAGGGAAGAACAAGUGCCGUUCGAAUAGGGCGGCGCCUUGACGGUACCUAACCAGAAAGCCACGGCUAACUACGUGCCAGCAGCCGCGGUAAUACGUAGGUGGCAAGCGUUGUCCGGAAUUAUUGGGCGUAAAGCGCGCGCAGGUGGUUUCUUAAGUCUGAUGUGAAAGCCCACGGCUCAACCGUGGAGGGUCAUUGGAAACUGGGGAACUUGAGUGCAGAAGAGGAAAGUGGAAUUCCAAGUGUAGCGGUGAAAUGCGUAGAUAUUUGGAGGAACACCAGUGGCGAAGGCGACUUUCUGGUCUGUAACUGACACUGAGGCGCGAAAGCGUGGGGAGCAAACAGGAU
RNAcentral lists this ribosomal RNA (760 nucleotides) under Rossellomorea marisflavi. RNAcentral describes it as "bacterial SSU rRNA". It matches the Rfam family "Bacterial small subunit ribosomal RNA", at positions 36 to 778 of the family's 1533-position model. The record is from RNAcentral. Lineage: Bacteria; Bacillati; Bacillota; Bacilli; Caryophanales; Bacillaceae.